GGCUCGAAGGACGAACGCUGGCGGCGUGCUUAACACAUGCAAGUCGGGCGGAAAGGCUCCGUUCGGGGGUACUCGAGCGGCGAACGGGUGAGUAACACGUGAGUAAUCUGCCCUUGGCUUCGGGAUAACUACCGGAAACGGUGGCUAAUACCGGAUAUGACCACUCCUUGCAUGAGGUGGUGGUAGGUAAAGUUUUUCGGCCAGGGAUGUGCUCGCGGCCUAUCAGCUUGUUGGGUGGGGUAAUGGCCUACCAAGGCUUCGACGGGUAGCCGGCCUGAGAGGGUGACCGGCCACACUGGGACUGAGACACGGCCCAGACUCCUACGGGAGGCAGCAGGUGGGGAAUAUUGCACAAUGGGCGCAAGCCUGAUGCAGCGACGCCGCGUGGGGAUGACGGCCUUCGGGUUGUAAACCUCUUUCACCAGGGACGAAGCGAGAGUGACGGUACCUGGAGAAGAAGGACCGGCCAACUACGUG
Molecule: ribosomal RNA, 477 nt
Filed under: uncultured bacterium
Lineage: Bacteria
Description: bacterial SSU rRNA
Rfam family: Bacterial small subunit ribosomal RNA
Source: RNAcentral